CCUUACGUAAGGAUUAUAUUGCCCCCAAUUUUUUUGAAAUACAAGAUGCUCAUUGAAUGAUAAGAAAGCUAUUUCCACUUAGACAAUUUCAGAUAUUCAAGGAUUUCACGUUUUGUUCUAUAUUAAGCAGGUCUAAUUUAGGAAAUUAACGAUAGGCUAACAAAAAAAGACAAUUAGGGAUUCAUUGGAAUUCUCACAUUUAUUCGGAAGAUACUUAUUUCGGAUGGGUCACGCCAACAGGAUGAACCAAAUGAGUUCUGCAUCAUGAACUUUGUACUGCGCACAUUACUUAGAUGGGUUCUAGAAAGGCAUAUAGGAAGN
Molecule: long non-coding RNA, 321 nt
Filed under: Nicotiana benthamiana
Lineage: Eukaryota; Viridiplantae; Streptophyta; Magnoliopsida; Solanales; Solanaceae
Description: long non-coding RNA (NBEN_LNC013568)
Source: RNAcentral